AAAAAAUUUUUUUAUUUUUUUCAAUUUUUCAUCAUAUUUUUUCAUUUUUUUUUAAAUUAAAUUACAUGAGAUUAUAUAAAUAAUGGUAUGUAAAGAAAGCCCCUUUUGUCCUGAAAACAACAAUAUAUAAUUUGUAUGGGAACAGUAAAUGAGAGAGCGGAAAAUUACAGCUAAACACAAACACCAGAAAAGUGUAUAAAGAGGCCUGGUCGCAAAUGUACAACAUCGCAAAAACAGUCCAGUCCUUAAGGGGUUAUAGGAGGGGGACUCUGAGUUGGAAUUUGUGGCCUUUUCCUACAUUUUCCUGUAUCACAAUGUUAAAAAUGGUUGUCUGGUCAUGGUCUACAUAUAUUUAUUGUGGAUUUUCUUUUGUGUUGAGGACAUUCUCUGAUGAUCUCUAUACGUUUUUGCUUUUAGGAAUUGGUUUUCCAACCUCCUACCUAAUACUGUUAGCACACUAGACAGGAAUAAUUUUUCCUUAUUUGUUUUCUUUUUAAAUAUUUGUGUGCAAAAAAAACUUUCCUUGUUACAAAUUUUGCCUGGGGAGUCACACUUUUUUUAUGGGCACAUUAGACUUUUCCCAAUGGUCAUCAAGAAGUAUACUCCUUAGUGGAUGAACACCAUUUUUAUAAAGCCACUAGUGUUUCUUUGAGAUUGUAUUCUAAUUCCAGCCUCACACUGGGGCUUGUCCAAUUGGCCCCUCCCACUUUUUACUUGCUCCUUGCCUUCUGGUAGCUUGUUAUUAAACAGUUCUGUGGUGUAGGUGUAGACUAGGUCAGUCUGAGAUGCAGUGGCGGAUCCAGAGCCUGAUCUCGGGAGGGGCACUUGUAGAUUAUUUAAAGAAAUAAUCCAGACACAAUAACCACUACAGCUCAGUGUAGUGGUUAUGGUGUCAAUAGUGCCGGGACCCCCUCCCACAGUAAGUAGUCAAACCGUUUAAGAACAGUUUGACAACUUACCUGAGAUCUGCUGGGAAUGGGGCUGUAGUAGGGCAUAGGAGCAGUGGUGUGUGUGAGUGGUGCAAUGUGUAAGGGGUGCAGUGUGUGAGUGAGGGUGGCAGUGUAUGUCAGGGAUGCAGUGUAUGUGUGGGACAGUAUGUGUGUGUAACAGUUGCAGUGUGUGUGUAUGGGGGGCAGUAUGUGUGUAUGGGGGGCAGUAUGUGUGUAUGUGGGAGCAGUGUGUGUAUGUGGGAGCAGUGUGUGUAUGUGGGGGCAGUGCGUGUGUAUGAGGGGCAGCUUGUGUGUAUGAGGGGCAG
Pelobates cultripes (western spadefoot toad) is the source of this 1255-nucleotide non-coding RNA. NCBI's taxonomy places the organism in Eukaryota, Metazoa, Chordata, Amphibia, Anura, Pelobatidae. The record is from the annotation of a GenBank genome assembly.